Molecule: ribosomal RNA, 1013 nt
Filed under: Irenopsis crotonicola
Lineage: Eukaryota; Fungi; Ascomycota; Sordariomycetes; Meliolales; Meliolaceae
Description: SSU rRNA
Rfam family: Eukaryotic small subunit ribosomal RNA
Source: RNAcentral
AUUAUACAGCGAACUGCGAAUGGCUCAUUAAAUCAGUUAUCGUUUAUUUGAUAGUGCCUUUUUACUCGGAUAACCGUGGUAAUUCUAGAGCUAAUACGUGCUACAAGUCCCGACUUCGGAAGGGACGUGUUUAUUAGAUUCAAAGCCAAUGCCUUCACGGGCUCGCUGGUGAUUCAUGAUAACCGCUCGAAUCGCACGGCCUCGCGCCGGCGAUGGUUCAUUCAAAUUUCUGCCCUAUCAACUUUCGAUGGCUGGGUAGUGGCCAGCCAUGGUGACAACGGGUAACGGAGGGUUAGGGCUCGACCCCGGAGAAGAAGCCAGAGUAACGGCUUCUACAUCCAAGGAAGGCAGCAGGCGCGCAAAUUACCCAAUCCCGACACGGGGAGGUAGUGACAAUAAAUACUGAUACAGGGCUCUUUCGGGUCUUGUAAUUGGAAUGAGUACAAUUUAAAUCCCUUAACGAGGAACAAUUGGAGGGCAAGUCUGGUGCCAGCAGCCGCGGUAAUUCCAGCUCCAAUAGCGUAUAUUAAAGUUGUUGCGGUUAAAAAGCUCGUAGUUGAAACUCGGGCCCGGCCGGCCGGUCCGCCUCACCGCGUGCACUGGCUCGGCUGGGCCUUUUCCACUGGAGAGCCUCAUGCCCUUCACUGGGUGUGAUGGGGAACCAGGACUUUUACUUUGAAUAAAUCAGAUCGCUCCAAGAAGGCCUUCGCCUGGAUGCAUUAGCAUGGAAUAAUGAAAUAGGACGUGCGGUUCUAUUUCGUUGGUUUCUAGGACCGCCGUAAUGAUUAAGAGGGACAGUCGGGGGCAUCAGUAUUCAGUUGUCAGAGGUGAAAUUCUUGGAUCUACUGAAGACUAACUACUGCGAAAGCAUUUGCCAAGGAUGUUUUCAUUAAUCAGGAACGAAAGUUGGGGGAUCGAAGACGAUCAGAUACCGUCGUAGUCUCAACCAUAAACCAUGCCGACUAGGGAUCGGACGAUGCUAUCUUAUGGCUCGUUCGGCACCUUACGCGAAA